ACGGGGGGGGCAAGCGUUAUUCGGAAUUACUGGGCGUAAAGGGCGCGUAGGCGGCUUGGUCAGUGGAAAGUGAAAGCCCUCGGCUUAACCGAGGAACUGCUUCCCAUACUGCCAAGCUAGAGGAUGGGAGAGGAGAGUGGAAUUCCUGGUGUAGCGGUGAAAUGCGUAGAGAUCAGGAGGAACAUCAGUGGCGAAGGCGACUCUCUGGACCAUUACUGACGCUGAGGCGCGAAAGCGUGGGUAGCAAACAGG
RNAcentral lists this ribosomal RNA (252 nucleotides) under uncultured bacterium. Its description in RNAcentral is "partial 16S ribosomal RNA". It matches the Rfam family "Bacterial small subunit ribosomal RNA", at positions 525 to 776 of the family's 1533-position model. The record is from RNAcentral.